UGCAGUCGAGGGGUAGAAGUCUUCGGGCUUUGAGACCGGCGCACGGGUGCGUAACGCGUAUGCAAUCUGCCUUUCACAGAGGGAUAGCCCAGAGAAAUUUGGAUUAAUACCUCAUAGCAUUACAGGAUGGCAUCAUCCUGCAAUUAAAGUCACAACGGUGAAAGAUGAGCAUGCGUCCCAUUAGCUAGUUGGUAAGGUAACGGCUUACCAAGGCGACGAUGGGUAGGGGUCCUGAGAGGGAGAUCCCCCACACUGGUACUGAGACACGGACCAGACUCCUACGGGAGGCAGCAGUGAGGAAUAUUGGUCAAUGGACGCAAGUCUGAACCAGCCAUGCCGCGUGCAGGAUGACGGUCCUAUGGAUUGUAAACUGCUUUUGCACAGGAAGAAACACUCCGACGUGUCGGAGCUUGACGGUACUGUGAGAAUAAGGAUCGGCUAACUCCGUGCCAGCAGCCGCGGUAAUACGGAGGAUCCAAGCGUUAUCCGGAAUCAUUGGGUUUAAAGGGUCCGUAGGCGGUCUUGUAAGUCAGUGGUGAAAGCCCAUCGCUCAACGGUGGAACGGCCAUUGAUACUGCAGGACUUGAAUUAUUGGGAAGUAACUAGAAUAUGUAGUGUAGCGGUGAAAUGCUUAGAGAUUACAUGGAAUACCAAUUGCGAAGGCAGGUUACUACCAAUUUAUUGACGCUGAUGGACGAAAGCGUGGGUAGCGAACAGGAUUAGAUACCCUGG
RNAcentral lists this ribosomal RNA (732 nucleotides) under Flavobacterium ginsengisoli. RNAcentral's name for it is "bacterial SSU rRNA". It matches the Rfam family "Bacterial small subunit ribosomal RNA", at positions 56 to 790 of the family's 1533-position model. The record is from RNAcentral. Lineage: Bacteria; Pseudomonadati; Bacteroidota; Flavobacteriia; Flavobacteriales; Flavobacteriaceae.